Molecule: ribosomal RNA, 429 nt
Filed under: Acidobacteriota bacterium
Lineage: Bacteria; Pseudomonadati; Acidobacteriota
Description: Acidobacteria bacterium partial 16S ribosomal RNA
Rfam family: Bacterial small subunit ribosomal RNA
Source: RNAcentral
UGGGGAAUUUUGGACAAUGGGGGAAACCCUGAUCCAGCCAUCCCGCGUGUGCGAUGAAGGCCUUCGGGUUGUAAAGCACUUUUGGCAGGAAGGAAACGUCAUGGGUUAAUACCCCGUGAAACUGACGGUACCUGCAGAAUAAGCACCGGCUAACUACGUGCCAGCAGCCGCGGUAAUACGUAGGGUGCAAGCGUUAAUCGGAAUUACUGGGCGUAAAGCGUGCGCAGGCGGUUCGGAAAGAAAGAUGUGAAAUCCCAGAGCUCAACUUUGGAACUGCAUUUUUAACUACCGGGCUAGAGUGUGUCAGAGGGAGAUGGAAUUCCGCGUGUAGCAGUGAAAUGCGUAGAUAUGCGGAGGAACACCGAUGGCGAAGGCAGCCUCCUGGGAUAACACUGACGCUCAUGCACGAAAGCGUGGGGAGCAAACAGG